This 1371-nucleotide small RNA is filed under the name Pongo abelii (Sumatran orangutan). RNAcentral describes it as "processed transcript". The record is from RNAcentral. Lineage: Eukaryota; Metazoa; Chordata; Mammalia; Primates; Hominidae.
AAUUAAAACCCGAUUUGGAAGAGGGAAGGGCAGCCAGCACCAGUAUGCACAGCCCCCGGCCCCAGAGACCCGGGAAGGAGUAGGGAGGCCGGGCAGGGAGCGUGGAAGGUGCGCUUUCCCGGAGAAGAGGACUGUCAGAAGGACGUAGAAGGCACACUUUUACUGUGAGAAGCAAAGAUCCUUUACCUACGCAUUUUACAAGAAAUGUGCAGAAAGCCAUUGAUAAAUAUACCUGAGUAUUAGGAAGACAGCUGAUCUUGCCCACUGACGAAGGCGUCCAGCAUUUCCAGGGCAGCACUCCUGCCUCCGCAGUCCACAGACCCCCGCUCAGUGCCUGCCGACACAGCAGCAACAUCAGAGAGUUGUGCAUUUCUGGCUCUCAAAUAGUCCCAGCAGCACUCUCAGCCUCUGCCCUGCCAGGCCCUGAUGACACAGGGGUUGCUGACCUAACGGCACGUUCAUCCCUGGAAGAAGAGGUUUAUCAUGUGGAUGGAAACAUGGAGGAGUAUUUCGCUUUUGACAGAAAAGAGGAUGAUGACGAAUGUCUUGAACAAAAACCAGCUCAGCCUGGUAGGAAAUGGUGCAAACUCGGACUUCCUCCUGUUUCCCCACAUGACUGUGUCAAAGAUGCCGUGACAGCAGAAGUGUUUGAUCACGUCUGGACAAAUUUGGUAGAACUUUUGGAAGAGCUGAUUAGAAAACACUGGGAAACUACACUCACAGAAGGGAAAAAACAGAGAGAAACAUUGAAAGUAGCUGGAAACAGAUUUCCACACGUCCUCAUUCCACACGCUCAUGCUGAUGGAGCCAGUGGCCCCCCGUCCGGAAGCUCCGAGGCUCACAGCAUCUCCCUGACUUCUCAUCUGAAGCCACCCCAGUGUCACAAUGCCUGGAACCCUUGACGUCCUGCCUAUGAAGGACGAGGAUGUGCUCAAGUUCCUUGUGGUAGGAGCCCGCGCAGGCGGCACCACCCUUGGCUUCCAGAUGGAGCAGUAUAUCCACAAAAGAACCAGUGAUGGCAUCUCUGUCAUAAAUCCGAAGGGACCUGGGAAAAGCUGCUGCUGGCAGCUCGUGCGAUUGUUGCUGUGGAACCCUGCUGAGGUCCCUGUGGUGCUCCAGGAACACUGGCCGGUGGGCUGUGCUAAAGUUCACUGCUGCCAUUGGAGCCACUCCAGCUCCUGGCCGCUUCUCUCCUGGAACCUUCACUCGCCAGAUCCAGGCAGCCGUCCGGGAGCCAUGUCUGCUCGUGGUUACUGAUCCCAGGCGACCACCAGCCUCUCAGAGAGGCAUCUUGGCUAACCCACCUCCCAUUGCUCUGUGGAACACAGAUUCUCCUCUGUGCUGUGUGGAAGUCGCCAUCCCGUGCAACAA